This 1448-nucleotide ribosomal RNA is filed under the name uncultured bacterium. RNAcentral describes it as "partial 16S ribosomal RNA". It matches the Rfam family "Bacterial small subunit ribosomal RNA". The record is from RNAcentral.
AGGGUUUGAUCAUGGCUCAGGAUGAACGCUGGCGGCGUGCUUAACACAUGCAAGUCGAACGAACCUUCGGGUUAGUGGCGGACGGGUGAGUAACGCGUGAGAAUCUGCCCUCAGGAGGGGGAUAACGGUUGGAAACGACCGCUAAUACCCCAUAUGCCUACUGGUGAAAUGAAUUUCGCCUGAGGAUGAGCUCGCGUCUGAUUAGCUAGUUGGUGAGGUAAUGGCUCACCAAGGCUUCGAUCAGUAGCUGGUCUGAGAGGAUGAUCAGCCACACUGGGACUGAGACACGGCCCAGACUCUUACGGGAGGCAGCAGUGAGGAAUUUUCUGCAAUGGGCGAAAGCCUGACAGAGCAAUACCGCGUGAGGGAUGACUGCCUACGGGUUGUAAACCUCUUUUCUCAAGGAGGAAGAUCUGACGUUACUUGAGGAAUAAGCAUCGGCUAACCCUGUGCCAGCAGCCGCGGUAAUACAGGGGAUGCAAGUGUUAUCCGGAAUUAUUGGGCGUAAAGCGUCUGCAGGUUGAUCUACAAGUCUUUUGUUAAAUUUUCAGGCUUAACCUGAAGUCAGCAAAAGAAACUGUUUAUCUUGAGUAUGGUAGAGGUAAGGGGAAUUUCCAGUGGAGCGGUGAAAUGCGUAGAUAUUGGAAAGAACACCAACAGCGAAGGCACCUUACUGGGCCAUUACUGACGCUCAUGGACGAAAGCCAGGGGAGCGAAAGGGAUUAGAUACCCCUGUAGUCCUGGCCGUAAACGAUGAACACUAGGUGUCGGGGGAAUCGACCCCUUCGGUGUCGUAGCUAACGCGUUAAGUGUUCCGCCUGGGGAGUACGCACGCAAGUGUGAAACUCAAAGGAAUUGACGGGGGCCCGCACAAGCGGUGGAGUAUGUGGUUUAAUUCGAUGCAACGCGAAGAACCUUACCAGGGUUUGACAUCCUGCGAACCUCUUAGAAAUUUGAGGGUGCCUUCGGGAAUGCAGUGACAGGUGGUGCAUGGCUGUCGUCAGCUCGUGUCGUGAGAUGUUCGGUUAAGUCCGGCAACGAGCGCAACCCCUGUCUUUAGUUGCCAUCAUUUAGUUGGGAACUCUAAAGAGACUGCCGGUGAUAAGCCGGAGGAAGGUGGGGACGACGUCAAGUCCUCAUGGCCUUUAUAUCCAGGGCUACACACGUGUUACAAUGGGGGUCACAAAGGGCAGCGAAACGGUGACGUGGAGCGAAUCCCAAAAAAGCCCUCUCAGUUCGGAUCGCAGUCUGCAACUCGACUGCGUGAAGCUGGAAUCGCUAGUAAUCGCGGAUCAGCACGCCGCGGUGAAUACGUUCCCGGGCCUUGUACACACCGCCCGUCACACCAUGGAAGUGUGUUGCACCAGAAGUAGGUAGUCUAACCUUCGGGAAGGCGCUUACCACGGUGUGAUCCAUGACUGGGGUGAAGUCAUAACAAGGUAACCGUA